UAGGGAAUCUUCGGCAAUGGGGGGAACCCUGACCGAGCAACGCCGCGUGAGUGAAGAAGGUUUUCGGAUCGUAAAGCUCUGUUGUUAAGGAAGAACGAGUGUGAGAAUGGAAAGUUCAUACUGUGACGGUACUUAACCAGAAAGGGACGGCUAACUACGUGCCAGCAGCCGCGGUAAUACGUAGGUCCCGAGCGUUGUCCGGAUUUAUUGGGCGUAAAGCGAGCGCAGGCGGUUAGAUAAGUCUGAAGUUAAAGGCAGUGGCUCAACCAUUGUAGGCUUUGGAAACUGUUUAACUUGAGUGCAGAAGGGGAGAGUGGAAUUCCGUGUGUAGCGGUGAAAUGCGUAGAAAUAUGGAGGAACACCGGUGGCGAAAGCGGCUAUCUGGUCUGUAACUGACGCUGAGGCUCGAAAGCGUGGGGAGCGAACAGG
RNAcentral lists this ribosomal RNA (429 nucleotides) under Bacteroidota bacterium. RNAcentral describes it as "Bacteroidetes bacterium partial 16S ribosomal RNA". It matches the Rfam family "Bacterial small subunit ribosomal RNA", at positions 355 to 776 of the family's 1533-position model. Lineage: Bacteria; Pseudomonadati; Bacteroidota. The record is from RNAcentral.